This 492-nucleotide ribosomal RNA is filed under the name uncultured bacterium. RNAcentral's name for it is "partial 16S ribosomal RNA". It matches the Rfam family "Bacterial small subunit ribosomal RNA", at positions 29 to 507 of the family's 1533-position model. The record is from RNAcentral.
AGUGAACGCUGGCGGUAGGCCUAACACAUGCAAGUCGAACGGCAGCACAGUAAGAGCUUGCUCUUACGGGUGGCGAGUGGCGGACGGGUGAGGCAUACAUCGGAAUCUACUUUUUCGUGGGGGAUAACGUAGGGAAACUUACGCUAAUACCGCAUACGACCUACGGGUGAAAGCAGGGGAUAUUCGGACCUUGCGCGAUUGAAUGAGCCGAUGUCGGAUUAGCUAGUUGGCGGGGUAAAGGCCCACCAAGGCGACGAUGCGUAGCUGGUCUGAGAGGAUGAUCAGCCACACUGGAACUGAGACACGGUCCAGACUCCUACGGGAGGCAGCAGUGGGGAAUAUUGGACAAUGGGCGCAAGCCUGAUCCAGCCAUGCCGCGUGGGUGAAGAAGGCCUUCGGGUUGUAAAGCCCUUUUGUUGGGAAAGAAAAGCAGCAGGAUAAUACCCCGCUGUUCUGACGGUACCCAAAGAAUAAGCACCGGCUAACUUCGUG